RNAcentral lists this ribosomal RNA (580 nucleotides) under uncultured Tomentella. RNAcentral's name for it is "eukaryotic LSU rRNA". The stretch from base 157 to 311 matches the Rfam family "5.8S ribosomal RNA". Lineage: Eukaryota; Fungi; Basidiomycota; Agaricomycetes; Thelephorales; Thelephoraceae. The record is from RNAcentral.
UGUGCACGCUCUGUUUACACAUCCACUCACACCUGUGCACCCUCCGUAGUUCUAUGGUCUGGGGGACCCUGUCUUCCCGCCGUGGUUCUACGUCUUUACACACACUCUGUAAUAAAGUCUUAUGGAAUGUAUGCCGCGUCUAACGCAAUACAAUACAACUUUCAGCAACGGAUCUCUUGGCUCUCGCAUCGAUGAAGAACGCAGCGAAAUGCGAUAAGUAAUGUGAAUUGCAGAAUUCAGUGAAUCAUCGAAUCUUUGAACGCACCUUGCGCCCCUUGGCUAUUCCGAGGGGCAUGCCUGUUUGAGUAUCAUGAACACCUCAACUCUCAUGGUUCGCCAUGAUGAGCUUGGACUCUGGGGGUUUUGCUGGCCUGCGGUCGGCUCCCCUCAAAUGAAUCAGCCUCCCAGUGUUUGGUGGCAUCAUGGGUGUGAUAAAUAUCUACACUCGUGGUUGUCUGCCAGGUAACCUUUGGUGACAAAGGUUUGCUGGAGCUCACAGAUGUCUCUCCUCGGCGAGGACAGCUUUUUUGAACGUUCGAUCUCAAAUCAGGUAGGACUACCCGCUGAACUUAAGCAUAUC